This is a long non-coding RNA of Homo sapiens (human), 529 nucleotides long. Lineage: Eukaryota; Metazoa; Chordata; Mammalia; Primates; Hominidae. The record is from Ensembl.
CUUGGGAGCCAGGCCUGCACCCCAUAGAGUCAGCUCUGGUUUAGAGCCAGCCCUUCCACCCUUGCCACCUUCAGCCGCUAGCCCAAAUCUCAACGCUCUUCUCGCCCAUUCCCAAACAUCUCUGCGCUUCUCCCUUCCCCAUCCGAUCAUUUCUGUUUCCAUUAUUUUUCUUUCUUCGCAGUUCCUUCCACGGUGUCUUUGGAAAUGCUGAUUCCUCUCUUGGCUUUGUGCUGUUUUUAUUCGCCAAACCUAUUCCGUUGUAAACCGACUUCUCUGAAUCUCCAACCUCACCACAGGACCAGCCCUCCUUCCCUCUUCCUUGGCUGAGGGUGCACCGCUCCUGCCUCAGCAUCUCCUUGGGCUCUGCUCUAAAUGUAUUACAACUGGCUGUGGCUUAUGCCUGCAAUCUCAGCACUUUGGGAGGCUGAGGUGGAAGAAUCACUUGAGCUCAGGAGUUCAAGACCAGCGUGGGCAACAAAGCAAGACCCUGUCUCUACAAAAUUAAAUUAAAUUAAAAAGUAUUACAUUU